UCCGAAAAGUUAAGCUUAACCUGCUAGAAAAGAAGGUUACUCCUACUAUCGAAGGUGGAGUAGAGGCAUCACUCGGGCGGAGGAUCUGCUCGCGUGGCUGAGCCGGCGGGUCUGGGGCUAGGGCACCGAAGGUGGGGAGGGGAUGUGCUCACCGGUCUGUGGGUGCAGAGGCGGCCAGACGAGGUAGAGGCGGGAAUGGAGAUUGGGGCAGGCGCCAGGCAGAGGGUUGGGGGCUGCCGGCACAGUCGACGGAGAGAUUGGGGUGAGGGUGGCGACAGAAGUUAAGAGCGGUGGAGGGUUGGGGAAAACGCGGAACCACCGUCAUCGUCGUCGUCGUGGAAUAUUCUUUCCUCAUGUAUGGUUUCUCCCGCAUUGGGGACAGCAAGAAGGUCUCCCAGGCAUGGAAGACCAGCUGCGUCGGGUUAGGUUCGCUCCACCCUUCUCAAGCUGGCCUAUUGGUUGGUAUCAAGGAUUAGGGAUCCGUAGUGGUGAGGAUAACUGGCUGCCCUAAUGGAUGUGCCAGACAAUAUAUGGCGCAGGUUGUUUUCGUUGGUGAUGGUCCAAACAGUGACCAGAUUUGGCCUGGAGAAACACCAAACCAGACAACACUGGCAGAAACCUUUAUGAAUAAAGUGAAGCUUCAAGUCUUCAAGAUAAGGUGCCUCAAACAGAUGGAACAAACCAAUUACAACCACAAGCAAAAUGACACCUACUGCCAACUGUAUGAAUCAACACAAGCCAGAGCACGCGGCUCGAUCAAUCGAUCGAUCGAUCGUUCAGUGCCUGACGCUCUUCACCUUCUUCCACGUUUUAUUGCUGAAGUUGCCAACCACCCUGACGCCCUUCAUCACUGCAAUCUUCAGCUCCAUGGUCCGCUGCUUCACAUCGAAGCCUCCCAUCUUCCCGACCCUGCUAGGCUCCUCUUCGUCGGAUCGGAGGAAUCUGCUUUCCUUUCCGGUCGCGGGUGAGGAGGUGAAAGAUUAUGCUGAUUGGCGGUUGGGCCGGGCUGGCUACUUGUCGUGCGUCUGGACUCUAGAGGGGAUGACGCCGCUGGGAUAUAUAGCAAGUGCCGCUUGUGGACCUGGACGGGGAAGCUGUUCUGUAAAGUUUGACGAUGAGCGUGUACUGCACAGGCAUUUGAAGUUUGAAUCACAAGUCAUGCCACCCACAGCCCACACCACAGGACGAGAAAGAAGAAGAUAUCAACGUCUCAGAGAUGUCUGUUGGAGAUAUGCCCUAUAUUCAAUCAUGUCAUGAUGUUAUUUCUCAUGUAUUCAUGAAUUAAUGUUAUUGUCCUUGAACAUCAUCACUGAUAUAUAUCAAAUAAAUAUGUGAUUUGUUUGUGAGACUAUGUA
Long non-coding RNA from Brachypodium distachyon (stiff brome), 1355 nucleotides. RefSeq lists it as uncharacterized. The transcript is spliced from 3 exons. The record is from RefSeq and is a predicted model, not a curated record. NCBI's taxonomy places the organism in Eukaryota, Viridiplantae, Streptophyta, Magnoliopsida, Poales, Poaceae.